ACGGGAGGCAGCAGUGGGGAAUAUUGCACAAUGGGGGAAACCCUGAUGCAGCGACGCCGCGUGAGUGAAGAAGUAUUUCGGUAUGUAAAGCUCUAUCAGCAGGGACGAUAAUGACGGUACCUGACUAAGAAGCCCCGGCUAACUACGUGCCAGCAGCCGCGGUAAUACGUAGGGGGCAAGCGUUAUCCGGAUUUACUGGGUGUAAAGGGAGCGUAGGUGGCCAUGCAAGUCAGAUGUGAAAACCCGGGGCUCAACCCCGUGACUGCAUUUGAAACUGCGUGGCUGGAGUACAGGAGAGGUAAGCGGAAUUCCUAGUGGAGCGGUGAAAUGCGUAGAUAUUAGGAGGAACACCAGUGGCGAAAGCGGCUUACUGGACUGAAACUGACACUGAGGCUCGAAAGCGUGGGGAGCAAACAGGAUUAGAUACCCUGGUA
This 434-nucleotide ribosomal RNA is filed under the name uncultured Lachnospiraceae bacterium. RNAcentral describes it as "bacterial SSU rRNA". It matches the Rfam family "Bacterial small subunit ribosomal RNA", at positions 341 to 792 of the family's 1533-position model. Lineage: Bacteria; Bacillati; Bacillota; Clostridia; Lachnospirales; Lachnospiraceae. The record is from RNAcentral.